Molecule: long non-coding RNA, 3788 nt
Organism: Fukomys damarensis (Damara mole-rat)
Lineage: Eukaryota; Metazoa; Chordata; Mammalia; Rodentia; Bathyergidae
Exons: 3
Source: RefSeq, a predicted model, not a curated record
AGCAGGAGGGGUGGCGGGGAUGGUUGUUGGGAGUCUGCUGCACUGUGCGCAGGCACUCGGGCGGUAUGGUGCGGAGGAAGCCGGGGCUGCAGAGGGGCAACUUUGCCUGGCUGUGCAGCCCAGAGGGGAGGGGCCGUCGCCAGGGGUGGGCUGGGCGCCUGUCUCCCGGAGUCACCUCCCCGCACACACAGGCACCACGUGCACGGUGCACCUCCAUGAGCGUGCCUCUGCACGCCCACUGCCACAUCUGCACACGCGUGUUCACAUGCUCACCCACACAGGAGUACACACUUCUGUGUGCACAGAGACAUGAACACCCAUGCACACACACGGAUUCAGCACUUGCACACUCACCCUGUGCGUGCACACUGCACGCUCGCAUAUACCUCCAUGCGUUGUGCACCCACACAUUUCCCUGCCGCUACACACAAUGGGUGCAUAGAUGUCCACAUGUGCUUGUUCACAAGUGUGUGAACAUUAACAUUCUUACACAAAUGUACAACAGGCACACGUAUGCAGGCAUAUGCACAGGUACCACGUUUGUGCGGAUAAUCACGAACAACUACCCACAAGCAUAAUCUUGUGCAUGCACAUCUAUGAAGGUACAUAUACUACCCGGGUGGACGCAUGGCCGUGCACACCUAUGUCUCUGUGCACAGCCCACUCCCACAGGGCACACACCCCGAGCUGCAGAGCGGACUUGUGCUGCUGUGCUCGCAGCAGCCCUUCCUGAGUGGGUCCCCCUGCACCUCACUCUUGUGCAGCCCUUCAGCCCUCUCCAUCUACGCUGAGGGCCACUUGCCCUUGCCUCAUGUGGCCCCUGGGCAUUGGCAUGUGCUGUUCUAUCCUGUCUCUGCCUCCUUGUCUGUCCCUGAGGCUCUCUUCCGUCCACAUUGGUAGCCUGCGGCCCCUCUUCCGGGACGCCACCCUUCUCAGCCCAGCUGGGCCUUUGGCCCCUUUGCCAGCCUCCUGCGUGCUGCCCAGGCAAAGCCAUCAUCAUGACCAGUUCUUUGGUAGUGCUUGUACCCUCCACCUGGUCCAGCAGCCAUGCACGGCUCCUAGGAGGGGCUCCGUUAAAGCGUGCUGUGGGGUGGGUGGCAGGAGGGAGGGGCCUGAGCCGCCUGACCUCCAGCCUCAGCCCUGCUGGGAGCCUCUGGGUGCUGGGUGCGCCGUGGGCCCAGGAGACAGUGGUAGGGCCUCUCCCCGGCAGCUUCCUCUGCCAGCCUGGCAUCCCAUGCCCAGCAGGCCCUUCCGGGCUGCCUUGAAGUGGGGGGAGCCCCCUGCCCUCCUGGCACCAGUUUCCCCUGCCUUGGAGCAGAGGCCCAGGUUGGGGCCUCCAAGGUCCAUGCUGGCUGCCCACCGGUGCCGUGUGUGCCCUGCCUCCUUUGCUGUCCACUGGUCACUCUGGGGUGAGGAGGACCGGCCCAGCGGAGACCCCUUGGCAGGCCUGAGCGAAGCCUGGGCAGCUCCCGGAACAGCACCAGGUGCACGAGUCUGCUGCAGCCGAGCUGAGGAUCUUCCCUCGUAGGUGCUGGAAAUUUCAUUUUUCAACGCGAGGCAGGACAGCGUGAGGCUGGCUUCUCUCCCGCCCCUCCCCACAGGCUUCCAGAAACCUAUCUGUCUGUCUAGUCAGAAGGUGGCCAGCCUGGCCCUGGGCGCACAGCCGCAGACGGAAUCCAUUGCAUAUUGAUCGGGGCUGGAUCUGGCGUAGCUGAGCUCCGACAGCCCGGAGGAGGACGGCUGGCCGCGGACUGGGCCAGUGGUGGAUUAGAGCAGGGCUCCUCUCCUCUUGGUCCACUGUGUGCCCACCCGGUCCAGGGCCUGGCUGCCCGAGGUGUGUCCCCCUCUCGGCUGCCUGAGGCCCCAAAGCAGCCUCUCUGUCGCCCACAGCUUGCAUCUGCCUACCCUGACCCGCCCUGGAAGCCAGGCCUCCCCGCAGCAUCUCCAUCCUAACUUUCAGUCCACAAGCAGCACAGGAGCAAGGCAGUCCCAGGAGCCUCAGCUCCUGCCCUCCUGGGCCUGGGCCUAGGCAGACGGCAGUUGUGGGCCUGCACCUGGGCUCGGCUCACUGGGUUUUACACCUGUGACCUUGGGAAGAGCCUGUCCUGGACACCCAACCUCAUUGGCUCCUUGCAGGGUCCCCAGAAGAGGCUGUGGGAAUGGAGUGCAGGACUCAGCCAGUGAGACCUCCCUGAUGACAAGUAAGAAAUGACCAAGAAGACCCAUUUGCUGCCUUUCCCUUGCUGUGUGUGUACAAACGUGAUACCCGGAGCUGUGGCAGCUGUCAUGUGAUGAGGAGGAACUGAGGAGCUGAGGAGGAGAAAAGCCACCGCGGGAAAGAGGCCACAUCCCCAUACAUUGUUCCUUGGCCUCUUGACCCCACCCUGUGGCCACCCUUUGGCCAGGUGUCCUCCUGCUGAGAGAGCCCCCAGGUCCUCCCAGCAGGCAGCGCGAGGAGUAGUCCAGAACGCUUGGGUUGGAACCUGGACAUCUCCAGCCCACACUCAGCAAGAUCAGCCGUGUUCUCUUGAGCUUUCCCCUCCCAGAAACCCUGAGCUGGAAAAUCGCAUGAAUCCGGCAAGGAGGUAAAUGCCUCCUUUUCAUCAGCACGGAGAUGCCCUUCUGGGUCUCAGCCAGGACAAACACAGGCCGGGCUUCGCGGCCUCUGCGCAGCGGGUGGAGUUGCCAGGGUCCCCUUGACCCAGGGAACUGCGGAGUGCUUUGGGGCUUCGUUGUCUGGUGUGGGUGCAAGGCCUGCUGGUGUCCAGGAGGGGGCGACAUUCCGGGCCCUGGCCCAGGAGAGGGGCAUCACGCUCUCUGCCCCGGGCCUUGACCAUUGACAGGUGACCCAGUGUCUCUCACCUCCCCGAGGGGUCAUCACUGGGCUGCCCUCGCUCCAACCCUGUGCCCCUGCCCUUCCCACCAUGACCUUCCGGCCCACUCCCUCACCUCUGUGCUCUCGGGGUCCCCCAGCCCAGCACAAGGUGGACACACGAAACCAGCUGAUGGCCUAAUGAGGGAGUGGGGACAUUGAAUAGUCACCUCCGAGGCAGGCAGCCCUUGGGACACCCUCCCAGGACCCCGGCAGGGAGGCCAGUUGCAAGUUAGGGGUGUGAGUCACCCCCAGCUGGUGCCACCUGAGCCCAGGCAGCAGGGCCCAGCUUGCCUGGCUGGGCACCUUCUCAGGCCCCAGCAGAUGAGAGAAGCCCGGCCCUCCCAGGGACAGCACCCUGCACCAGAGCUGACGUCCUCGGGGACGCCCGGCUCCCCGCUGUGCAUCCUGUGGACCUGCAUCGGCCUGCCCAAGCUGGCCUCUUCUCAUAUGGCCACGGCCAUCUGGAGCCACAGCCCUGCCAGGUCCCCGUGGCUUUCCGCUGCCCUGUCACUGCCCUGCAGGUACCUGCUCUGUGCGGCCACUGCCACCCCUCCCAGGGUGCCUAGUGCCGGACACUUCCCACCAUUGGACAGGGCCACCCAGAGGACCCCGGGCAUGGGAACCCUGGGCUCUGGUGCCAACACUCCCCCGUGUCCCUACCUCAGUCCUCAGGUCCCUGUAGAGACAGCUGCUGUGAGAGAGGUGUGUGCCCAGGCCCUGCAGCCCCUCCCUGUGUCCUGACACGGCCAUGUUAGUGGUGGUAGGAGUGCAGCGGGAGCCUUCCGCAGUGGGGGCUCAUUCCAAAGGUCUGGCCUGCUAAGCAGAGCAUGGUGCCACACACUUGUAGUCCUAGCACUGGGGAGGCUGAGGCAGGAGUAUCACCACAAGUUUGAUGCCAGCCUAGGCUACGUAG